Molecule: long non-coding RNA, 474 nt
Organism: Liolophura sinensis
Lineage: Eukaryota; Metazoa; Mollusca; Polyplacophora; Chitonida; Chitonidae
Exons: 3
Source: RefSeq, a predicted model, not a curated record
UGGCAAACUAGCACAUGGCGAAGGAUCGGUGAAAUGGGCUCGUAAGAAAAACUAAUAUUUUGCAGAAAAUAUGGGACUGAUUGUUUUCAGGUUUGAAAUGCAGUGGAAGGAAUUACCAACUAUGGAUUUACCCAUGUUUCAAGAAUCUGAGUUUUCGAUCUUUGGAGCAGAAGUUGUUUGUGACAGAUUUUCCAAAGGAGGUUGAAUAGUGUUUUCUGUUUUUAUUCGUGGAAAGUGCUUUUGUGGGCUGUGGAAUGUUUGUAGUACUUCUCUGUGAUCAAAGGGAGUUAACUCUGGCCAAUGGCUGACUGCAGAGCAAAAUCAGAUGACAGGAGUUGCACAGUCAUAGUUGGAUAUACUGGCGUCAGAAACAAAAUGUGUUGUGUUCCAAGAAAAUAUUUUAAAUUUUAACUUCAACAGGACGAGCGAGAGAGAGAGAGAGAAUAAGGAUUCAGGGGGAAUAACUCUAACAAC